GACGAACGCUGGCGGCGUGCUUAACACAUGCAAGUCGAACGGAAAGGCCCUGCUUUUGUGGGGUGCUCGAGUGGCGAACGGGUGAGUAACACGUGAGUAACCUGCCCUUGACUUUGGGAUAACUUCAGGAAACUGGGGCUAAUACCGGAUAGGAGCUCCUGCUGCAUGGUGGGGGUUGGAAAGUUUCGGCGGUUGGGGAUGGACUCGCGGCUUAUCAGCUUGUUGGUGGGGUAGUGGCUUACCAAGGCUUUGACGGGUAGCCGGCCUGAGAGGGUGACCGGGCACAUUGGUACUGAGAGACGGCCCAGACUCCUACGGGAGGCAGCAGUGGGGAGUAUUGCACAAUGGGCGGAAGCCUGAUGCAGCAACGCCGCGUGCGGGAUGACGGCCUUCGGGUUGUAAACCGCUUUCGCCUGUGACGAAGCGUGAGUGACGGUAAUGGGUAAAGAAGCACCGGCUAACUACGUG
RNAcentral lists this ribosomal RNA (468 nucleotides) under uncultured bacterium. RNAcentral describes it as "partial 16S ribosomal RNA". It matches the Rfam family "Bacterial small subunit ribosomal RNA", at positions 28 to 507 of the family's 1533-position model. The record is from RNAcentral.